UACGGAGGGUGCAAGCGUUAUCCGGAUUUACUGGGUUUAAAGGGUGUGUAGGCGGACAUUUAAGUCAGGGGUGAAAUCCCGAGGCUCAACCUCGGAACUGCCUUUGAUACUAUUUGUCUUGAAUGUUGUUGAGGUGGGCGGAACGGGUCAUGUAGCGGUGAAAUGCAUAGAUAUGACCCGGAACACCGAUUGCGAAGGCAGCCCGCUAAGCAACUAUUGACGCUGAGGCACGAAAGCGUGGAGAUCAAACAGG
Molecule: ribosomal RNA, 253 nt
Filed under: uncultured bacterium
Lineage: Bacteria
Description: partial 16S ribosomal RNA
Rfam family: Bacterial small subunit ribosomal RNA
Source: RNAcentral